GUGGAUUUGAUGAUGAUAUAGUGUUGUUGAAGGAAAAAGAACGAGAGGGUUUUUGUUGAAUCAAGGUUCUGAAGUUGUGUUGAUAGUGAAUCAAAGAAGUAGGGUUUCAUGUUCUUCCCUACUUUAAGAACUAGGUUUUGGAAACCGAUUGAAGAUUUGAUUUGGAGUUAGAUAAUAAGAAACUGAAGGCCGGGUGUAGUAAAUUGAGGAGGAAUCUAUGAAGUAGGUGAUGGUUCUGAAACUUAUUGAGUUCUGGAAGAUGAUAAGAAUGAUGGGUUUGUGUAGAUUGAAAUUGAGUUGUGCCAGCAGUGAAGAUUGUUAAGUUUGGUUCGGUUAAUUAGGAUUUCUGAGAAUUAAAGAAGGUGAAGAAGAUCGUCGGGUUUGGUCAAGUUGGAUCUCCUGUGGAGGUGGUGAGGGGAACAACAAUUUAGAAGUUGCUGACACUUGGGUAAGUUUUGAAUUGUUGAAUUUUAAAUAUCUGUAUUGAUUUGUUUAUAUGGUUGAGCUUAUGUGUUUGAGAAUGGAUGAUGUUAUAAGAUGUUGAUGAAGAUGUUGUUGAACUAGUAGAGAAUUUGGUACUUGCCAUGAGAAUGAUUGUUGUAGGUAUAAGAUGAAAAUAUUGGUGAAGUGAAAUGUUGGUUUGAGUUGCAGGAGGCUUGAUUGUGUUUCUAUGUUGAUGACGGAUGAACUGAAUUGAGGGGUUGUAGUCUGGAUGUAUGUUACACUACAGGAAACUGGUAUAUCUGGUUAUGUAAGAAUGUGUUGAGUUGAUUGUUGCUGAGAUAUGAUGGUGAAUGAGAUUGAUUUGAGAUAUUGUUUAGUUAGUGGAACUGGAGAAAUAAUUGUAUUACAUGAACUGAAUAUGGAUGCAGUGAAGAGCUGGAGAUGGUGAAUAUGCAGUUGGGUUGUAGUUGUAACUAGUUGCUGGUGGAGACGCAGAUUGAAGUUAGAUUGGUUGUUGUAAAUUUAUUGUCUGUAUAGAAGUGUAGGUUAGUUGAAUGUGUGCAACAGAGGUACUGUGGUUAGUGAUUGAGGUUGUUUGAGAAGGACUGGAGAGAUUUCGAGAUGAAUUGUAGAAAUUAAUGUGAAAUGAUGGUUGUCUGGAACUGGAAUUAAAAUGGCUGUGGUGUUGGAUUUGAUUUGGUAGCGAAUUGAUUAUGGACUGCAUGUGGAAUGAGAUGGUGUUGUUGUAUGUGUUUGUGUUAAUGGCAGGUGUUAUGAAUUGGUUUAGAUGAAUGGGUUAGGAAGGUAUAUGAACUUGUUGAUUGGUGGUGUAUUGGUGUUACAGUUCAUGAGAUGACAGUGUCGAUAUAAUGAAGUGGCAGUUUAGUUGUGUUUUGCUGGAAUUGAGAUGAUGCUAGAUACAACAGGUGAUAUCGGGUUGGUUUGGCAGUUUAAUGAAGGAGGCGAGAUGAACUCAGAUAUAGUGAAGUUACAGUGUUAUAAGGAUAUGAGGAAUGUGGCACUGAGGUUGUGGAAGUGAAUGGUUGUGUUACUGAAAUUUCAGGGAUAGAGUAGAGGGUUAUAGUUUUGAAGAUGAAAUUUUGAGUAUAAAGUUGAAGUUGAACUGUGGAGUGAUUCAGUUUAGUACAUGUGUUGCACAAAUCUUCUAUUGCAGUUAGUAUGUGUUAACAACGAUCGAUUCAAAGGACGAACCAAUGGAUCGUGAAUCUCGAGGGAGGCGUGGCUUGUCAUCAAAAGAGUUUUCAGAGACAGAUCAGAGUUGCGCAGCGAAAGCCAAA
Papaver somniferum (opium poppy) is the source of this 1742-nucleotide long non-coding RNA. RefSeq lists it as uncharacterized. The transcript has 3 exons. NCBI's taxonomy places the organism in Eukaryota, Viridiplantae, Streptophyta, Magnoliopsida, Ranunculales, Papaveraceae. The record is from RefSeq and is a predicted model, not a curated record.